Potamilus streckersoni is the source of this 73-nucleotide non-coding RNA. NCBI's taxonomy places the organism in Eukaryota, Metazoa, Mollusca, Bivalvia, Unionida, Unionidae. The record is from the annotation of a GenBank genome assembly.
GCUCAGGUGGCCUAGUGGUUAGAGCGUUCGACGUGGAUGCGGGAGGUCGUAGGUUCGAAUCCCGGCCCAGUCA